This 484-nucleotide ribosomal RNA is filed under the name uncultured bacterium. Its description in RNAcentral is "partial 16S ribosomal RNA". It matches the Rfam family "Bacterial small subunit ribosomal RNA", at positions 30 to 507 of the family's 1533-position model. The record is from RNAcentral.
AUUGAACGCUGGCGGCAGGCCUAACACAUGCAAGUCGAGCGGAUGAAGGGAGCUUGCUCCUGGAUUCAGCGGCGGACGGGUGAGUAAUGCCUAGGAAUCUGCCUGGUAGUGGGGGAUAACGUCCGGAAACGGGCGCUAAUACCGCAUACGUCCUGAGGGAGAAAGUGGGGGAUCUUCGGACCUCACGCUAUCAGAUGAGCCUAGGUCGGAUUAGCUAGUUGGUGGGGUAAAGGCCUACCAAGGCGACGAUCCGUAACUGGUCUGAGAGGAUGAUCAGUCACACUGGAACUGAGACACGGUCCAGACUCCUACGGGAGGCAGCAGUGGGGAAUAUUGGACAAUGGGCGAAAGCCUGAUCCAGCCAUGCCGCGUGUGUGAGGAAGGUCUUCGGAUUGUAAAGCACUUUAAGUUGGGAGGAAGGGCAGUAAGUUAAUACCUUGCUGCUUUGACGUUACCAACAGAAUAAGCACCGGCUAACUUCGUG